This 1247-nucleotide long non-coding RNA is filed under the name Chinchilla lanigera (long-tailed chinchilla). RNAcentral describes it as "lncRNA (ENSCLAG00000023542.1)". The record is from RNAcentral. Lineage: Eukaryota; Metazoa; Chordata; Mammalia; Rodentia; Chinchillidae.
UGUGUGGAGACGACCUUUCGCACCGGAGCCUGUGUGCAGAAUUACAUCUUUACCAAAACCCUUAGCACCUGUGGAAGCCUCACUCUCUCACCUGCCCCUGAGACCUGCGUCCACCUUUCUGUCCACGCCGCAGCCACAGGGACCCUCCUAAGGUUCGUCUGCUCAUCUCAGCGUUGCACCCCAAGUACCAGAGUGGGCAGGAGCCUUGGGUCAGGCCCACCGGCGCUUCCGACCUUGCUGCCCUGGCCGCCCGGCCCACUGUGAGCCUCCUCCCGGGGCCCGCACACAUCCAGCUGCCCCCGCCCAGCCUUAUCUACCCGCUCCCCCGUCUUCCUCCUCUGGAAUACUCGGCUUCUGACACCACUCAGCAUUUAUUGAUUUACUGUGUUUGUUUUCCGCCUUUCUGCAAGAACGCGGUAUGAAUUCCACAGGCCGGAAUCUGUGUAUCCUCCUUACCCGAGCAGCACUGAGCUCGCAGCGCGCGCCCUCACAGUGCUCUUGAGGGAAUGAACUGGCCGCCGUUACUUAAGGCGUAAUCCACCCGUUUCCACAAUGAUCUCCACCUUCACAGUUAGUGCUGAUUAAAAAGAUGAACUGUAAUUCUCCACAAUAUCUUAAGAAGAGUGCCAAGCCUGGAGUUGGAGGACUUCAUGAACGUCACCCGAAUAGCCUCAGUCUCAGUUUUCUCACCUGUGACAACAAAAGAUUAGGCGAGGUGCUCAACAGAGACCUCUCUAAUUCUAAGAGUCUAAAACGCCUUGAGAGAAAGAAUGUUUUUUGGCAACAACUAACCAGGCACUGUUUCUUCAAGUUGGCCUAAAAUGGAAGUCAGAAAUCAGAGCUCAGAUUCUUAACUCAGCCACUGAUUUAUAAGCCAGCAAACUGUCAAGAAAUCAUUUUAGUUCUUUCAAAAGAUGGAAAAAUACCAAUCAAUGGAGUACUUCCAUUCCAUCUAAGAACCACGAGAGACCGUGUUCCAUGAGUGUUAAAACUGAAAAUUUUGGAAAACACUCCAGCUGAGGAAAUGUUGACUAAACCCUGGGAGGAGUGGUGCACACCUUAAUCCCAGCACUCUGGGCAGACGGGGCACGAGAAUGGCAGGCUCGAGGCCCAGUGGGGAACUUAGCCAGAUCCUGUCUCAAAAUAAAUAGGAGGGGAGGGGCUACGGACAUAGCUCAAUAUGAAGGAUCUAAGGUUAAUCUCCAGUACUACCAAAAAGAAAUAAAGAGCUGACUAAAGUACAUUAU